AUCCCACAUCCAAUUCCCUAUCAUAUACUCCUGCAGGUGAACCAUGAUGCUUUUUCUUCACAAAUCAUACACAUCAUCCUUCCAAGUGCCCAACUUCCUAAGCUUAUGUUUCUCUCUUCUAUCUACUCUGGCUAAAAUGCUCUAUAGCAAGCUUGUGGGUCUUUAAUCAAAUACAGCCUUGGAAUGUGUCCUUGGUCAUCAUCCAUGAGUUCUUAGGUAGGUUAGGAAGACAAAUCCUUCUCUUGAAUAUCAUCCAUAAUCUAUUCUUCACUGACUAUGAACUUGUCUUUUAACAGACUAACAGGGAAGAAGAAAAUUCUCUCUCUACUCAAGACUUUAAACUUCGUAUCCAAAACUGAAAAUCAUUUAGAAGCCCCAUUUCUCCUUUUCUCUUCCCAAAAUCUCUCCCUUCUUCCCUACUUCUACUUAGUGCUUCUCUUCAUUUGUAAUAUUACUUGUUCUGAGACUUAAAACACUACUCCAUAUAGGGCUGACCCUCUCUUACAGGUCUAAACUGUGACAUUUCUAUUACUGUUUUUAGUAUCCAUCACAGGUUUCCUUCUGCUGCAAUAUUUGCUUUUAUGUCCUUUCAACCUUGAGCUCCUUGAAGGCAAAGUUGCUAUCUCAUUUACUUUUGUCUCCCUAGUCCUGACACACAAUGGAUGCUAACUCCAUAUUUUUGAAGAAGGUAUGCAAAUCAGCAAAACUGAGUGUUUUCAGUCUUGUAGUCUAUUUUGCCAUGUUUUAAGUUUAUGAUCCCAGAUGGCAUCCCACCUCUGACUGAACCAUACUUGGUUGCCUAUGUCAUUGCCUUCCUUCUUCUCCCAACCUGCAAGAUACUCCUCUUUCCUGGGGGAUUAUCUGCAUUCCUAUCACCCCCACCCCAUGUGACUCGAGAAACACAGAUUCACCCUCUGUGUGAAGAAUCUCAUACUUGUGUAGCUCUAAUGAUGCAGAAAUUCUCCUUUCUCCAUGGUGUCAUAUGUCACCACCAAAAUGUUGAUUUCCUUUCAUUUUUAUGGACUCUUUCUUUUUAACUUUCUUAUUCAAUUUUAUCUACCAUCCCCUCUCGGAAGCCAUUAUUCACCCCUUCAAUACUCUACUACAGAAAGAUGUUCUCUAGCAGUGAGGCCAACUUGGAUGACUCACAGCAGAUGUAAUUGGUGAGCAAAAUGCAGUCAGACUGGUUUAAUCCACUUGCCAACUCUGUGACCUUCAGUAACCUCCUUAAAUUCUCUGUGCCUUAGUUCCUUUUCUGUAAAGUGUCUCGUAGGGCUGCUGUGAGCAUUAAAUAAUGCAUGUAAAACAGCACUUGGUAUACAAUUGGUAUAUGAUUGCAAAAUAAUUGUUUGCUCUCAUUGUUAUUCUAAACAAAGGCAACUCAAAGGCAGUACACAUCCUGCUGAUGCCCACACCCUCUUUUAAGCUCCACAUAAAUCCCAGAUACUUUAAUAAACAUAUGUUGUACACAACUUUUUUUUAGUCUUCUUGUCUCCUCCUUGUCCACUUGACUGCCAUCAUCUUCUAACUGCUGGGAAAGCCCUUGCCCAACAGAAAGUAACCUUCUGAGUCUGCCCAAGAGGAAAAUCAAAGUCACACAAGGAGGGAAAAAGAGCCCCACAUUAGAAGAGACAUUUAAAAGAGAGUAGUCAUGUUGACAUUAGAGAUCUCCCCAAGUUCAAUCUCUACCACCUCUCUGCAGGCCCUGGAUUUGAGCAGAACUGACCUGCCAGGCUGCUUAGCAUUUCUUCCAAGUGACAUGAAACCUCAAAGCUAAAAACUGUAGUGUCCAUGCCCUUAUGCUCUACUCUGGAGACUUAGGUUAAUGAUGAGCCAUUACCUUGGGUUUACUCUAAAUCACUCCUCUUGACCUAAUUAUAUGCCAAGGGGGAAAUCCAAUGUAUUUGAUCAAGUCUUGCUAGUAUUUUCCUUGUCUAAUUCCAUUAGUCUCAUUGAUACAAAAGGUUCCUAAAGCAAUUAAAGCAAGUGCUGUCCCCUGAGAGCUCUGGGAUGAAUAUCUCUUCCCUACUCUUCUCAGAACCUGGUUUCCCAUGGUGAAUAGCAUAGGCAGGGCUGGGCAGAGGACACCGCAUACAGGAAUGGUGUCUGUUGGUGCCAACAAAUUAGAAUCUGACGUCACUUCAAUUAAUGAUCAUCAGAAACUAAAGUAUAUCAGCUGAGAAAUGUGGAGGGAGGCCUGCCGUAUUCUUGGUGAGAUCAUUUUUCACAACUCUUUCUCCCAGAUGUUCAUUUCACAAACUAUAUACAUUUCAUUCAGUCUUACUACAAUUUAUUUACCUAGAGCUUCAGUGACCCACAAAAUGCCUUCAAAGUCAUUGGACCAUUUCAGAAGCUUCUAGUAGCCCAUUAGAAAUGUCAGUGCACACUCAACAAGCAGCCAGAUCCAAAUAUGCUGAAGCUUAACCUCAUUAAAAUGUUUCUACGACACAGGGUCAAACUUAUCUUGCCACGGACUCCCUUCCUCUCGCCAAUCGCUGAGAAACCAUUUUCUUUCUAAUUAAUUUCAUCUAGAUGAAACCUGCACAAAUGUCAGUGCAACAAAUUAAGACUUAUUGAUUAUUGGCUUUUUAAAAAUAGUUAAUGGUUCUGUCCAAAGAUGGAAUAUUUUAGGGACAUCAGCAAGACAUUUUAGCUUAGGCUGAUUUUGUUUUUUUGAACAAUGAAAAUAAUGUUGUAAGCAUCUUCCAUAACCUCAUUGUUCAUUUUCCCCCUAAAACUUUAUUCUUUUUUAUAGUCACAAAAUAUAAAUAGCUAGGAAACCACAUCUUAGAAUUUGCUGGAAGAACAAGUGCUACUCAUUUAUAUUUCAUAAAUGCUGCUCUGCAGCUUAUCCAUCUUGUUUCCCCCUUUUUCUCUCCCUUUAAACAUUGUAGAAUGUUAAGUUUGUUCACCAUGAUUGUUGAUAGGAAAAAGGUGGGGAAAAAAGUUAAAAAUGAGAUAAAACUCUCCUUAUCAGAAACCUUGUUUGUUUCUUUCUUUCUUUUAAGGUUGAUGCUGGAAAAAGGUUUCUGGUAUACUGCUAACCUCUCACCAAGCCUUACUGAAUCCUACUACAUGCUAAGGAAAUGCUGGGAAAAGUGACGAGUCAACUAAAUUUGCAAAGUCCUUUGUACUGCAACAAAGAUAAAGCAUUGAUCUAUACAUAGUGUCCAUUGUGCCAGUCACCUUUGGCAUCUCAUCCAGCAAAGAAUGGAAAGAACCAGGAAAGAAGAGAAUACCAGCGAUGCUUCUGGUGUGCCAUUCUAGAGGAAAAUGUGAAAUCUGUGGGGAACUUUAUUUACCAUUUAGUUUAUUCCCUCCUUAUACUUUAUUUACUUAUGCCAUUGUCUCCUUCAACAGCAUGACACUGACUACUGGACCCUAAUUGCUCAUCAGCACCUGAAAACCUUUUUAAGACAUAGGUCUGCCAUGUACUACCCUCAGAAAUCAUCAUUUAAUUAGUCUAGAAUGGACUAUCUGAUAUUGGUAUAUUUAAAAUCUGACCAAGUGAUGCUAAUGUGCAGCCAACCAGUAUUCUAUAGAAAGCAAGGCAGGUGGAAUUGGACAUCUGUAUCAUGUUUCAACUGCUAACCAAACAUAUAACAAUUAAAGGAGCAUUAUCCUCAAAAGAGAAAUGAUUAAAAUGCGCACCCAACAAAUCUUGAUGGAUUUUUAGCUACCUAUAGUCCCAAUUCCAAUAUUUUUCUAUUUCUAAAAGUACUGGAAUUGCUUCAAAGAGGCAUCUAUGAUGUCCCUGUCACUGCCCUAUGCCUACAGGUCAUGUUCCUCCUGGCAGCCCUCACCAACAGCACAAUCUCUAUUUAUGCUCCUUCAUAUCUGAAAACUAAAGCUCUCUAAAGAAGAGUUGUGCAUCUCUACACCAAGUCCCAAGGGCAACUAGUGCUGAUCUGCUGAAAGCUUCAUACAAGUGCAGUGUCCUGUCCCUCAGUUUUAUGGCUAACAGUUUCUGCUCUUUCCCUCAUCAUUGAAGAGGCAUUUCUAGAGGUGUUUCCACAACAGAAGACCUCAUGGAAGCAGUUUGGAAUCACAGAGGAAACUCAUCGAAGGCAUCUUUAACUUCAAUGUGAUCUGUGAGCAGUGAAGUUGGGCACCAAAACGAGAGAGGUAUUUGUGAAAAUGCGAUUUUGUUCCUGAUCUUGGCAACACAAAACAAAACCACACCACUGAUGGAGGAAAUAUCUUGAUGCUGGCACAUGGCUCAAAGACUUAUAGUUUUGGAAAGGGUAUUCUUGCUUUAACUUUUAAAUAUCUGUCAAGGAAAAAAAAUUGAAGAUAAAUGCAAAUUUUUAAAAAUUGGGGCUAACAGCACUCCUGAACACAUGCGAAUAGCUGAGGGGCUAAGUCAGUCCUGGGGAUGACAGGUCACAAACACUGCAGUGUGCUCUUCUUGAUAAUGACACAAACUCGCACUGGGUUUAAGCUUAAUUCAAAGCCAAGCCCUGGGUACUCUGUGAAAUAUAGCUUUGAAAGAAGCCAUUUUCUCCCAAACGCGGGAACUCUCCCAUCUUUCUUCAAAAGAUGGCUGUUUUUUAACAUCUUCCUUCAAGAAAGGAGAAGUCAUCGGUUAUUUUCAUUGUAAACGGUGUUUACAAGCUAUAUAUUUUUGCUAUUCCUUUCCUAACAUCAAACAAGCCAAAACAAUAUCCCUAUAAGUAUUUAAUCAUAGAGAAGCUUCUUCUAAACUCAUUCAUUUGUUCACUAAUAA
This is a long non-coding RNA of Canis lupus familiaris (dog), 4726 nucleotides long. RefSeq lists it as uncharacterized. The transcript is spliced from 3 exons. The record is from RefSeq and is a predicted model, not a curated record. NCBI's taxonomy places the organism in Eukaryota, Metazoa, Chordata, Mammalia, Carnivora, Canidae.